AUUGAACGCUGGCGGCAUGCUUUACACAUGCAAGUCGAGCGGCAGCGCGGGCUUCGGCCUGGCGGCGCGUGGCGAACGGGUGAGUAAUGCAUCGGAACGUGCCCAGUAGUGGGGGAUAGCACGGCGAAAGCCGGAUUAAUACCACAUACUACCUGAGGCUGAAAGCGGGGGACCGAAAGGCCUCGCGCUCUUGGAGCGGCCGACGUCGGAUUAGCUAGUUGGUGGGGUAAAGGCUUACCAAGGGGACCAUCCGUAGCUGGUCUGAGAGGACGACCAGCCACACUGGGACUGAGACACGGCCCAGACUCCUGCGGGAGGCAGCAGUGGGGAAUGUUGGACAAUGGGGGGAAACCUGAUCCAGCCAGGCGGCGUGCGGGAAGAAGGCCUUCGGGUUGUAAACCGCGUUUGUGCGGGAAGAAACCCUCUGGGCUAAUACCCCGGGGGGAUGACGGUACCGGAAGAAGAAGCACCGGCUAACUACGUG
RNAcentral lists this ribosomal RNA (484 nucleotides) under uncultured bacterium. RNAcentral describes it as "partial 16S ribosomal RNA". It matches the Rfam family "Bacterial small subunit ribosomal RNA", at positions 28 to 507 of the family's 1533-position model. The record is from RNAcentral.